Molecule: ribosomal RNA, 775 nt
Filed under: uncultured Neocallimastigales
Lineage: Eukaryota; Fungi; Neocallimastigomycota; Neocallimastigomycetes; Neocallimastigales
Description: partial large subunit ribosomal RNA
Rfam family: Eukaryotic large subunit ribosomal RNA
Source: RNAcentral
UACUAGAGUAGCACUCGCAUAUCAAUAAGCGGAGGAAAAGAAACUAACAAGGAUUCCCCUAGUAACGGCGAGUGAAGCGGGAAGAGCUCAAAUUUGAAAUCUUAAAGGGUUUCCCUUUACGAAUUGUAGUUUAAAGAAGUGUUUUCUGUUGAGGUUUUGGUAAAAGUUCUUUGGAAUAGGACAUCAUAGAGGGUGAGAAUCCCGUAUUUGACCUUUACUUUCAACUUUGUGAUACACUUUCAAAGAGUCGGAUUGUUUGGGAAUGCAGUCCAAAAUGGGUGGUAAAUUUCAUCUAAAGCUAAAUAUUGGCGAGAGACCGAUAGCGAACAAGUACCGUGAGGGAAAGAUGAAAAGAACUUUGAAAAGAGAGUUAAACAGUACGUGAAAUUGUCAAAAGGGAAGCGUUUGACACCAGUGUUGUUUUUCUGAAAAUCAAUUAAAGAACUGUUUAUGCUAAGCUGUUUAGACUUUAUCAGCUAUCUGUUUAGUUUUGAGCUUUUCUUUAAUGCACUUUUCAGUUAACAAGUCAACAUCAAUUUCUUUUGCUGUAAAAAAGCUUGAGGAAGGUGGCUUGAGAUUCGUCUUAAGUGUUUAUAGCCUCUUGCCUAUGCAGUCGGAGAGAUUGAGGUCUGCAGCGUAGAUCCUUCGGGGCUAAAUGCAUUUGUGCUAAGUUAUAGCAUUUUAUAGGACAACUUGUUGACUAUGAUUUGUCUUGUAGCUUACUCGCUUAUGUUAUUUUACCUACGCUUAGGAUGUUGAGCGCAUGUCUCUCUCU